This 2554-nucleotide ribosomal RNA is filed under the name Escherichia coli HVH 180 (4-3051617). RNAcentral describes it as "bacterial LSU rRNA". It matches the Rfam family "Bacterial large subunit ribosomal RNA", at positions 391 to 2925 of the family's 2925-position model. The record is from RNAcentral. Lineage: Bacteria; Pseudomonadati; Pseudomonadota; Gammaproteobacteria; Enterobacterales; Enterobacteriaceae.
CACAUAUUGUGAGCUCGAUGAGUAGGGCGGGACACGUGGUAUCCUGUCUGAAUAUGGGGGGACCAUCCUCCAAGGCUAAAUACUCCUGACUGACCGAUAGUGAACCAGUACCGUGAGGGAAAGGCGAAAAGAACCCCGGCGAGGGGAGUGAAAAAGAACCUGAAACCGUGUACGUACAAGCAGUGGGAGCCUCUUUAUGGGGUGACUGCGUACCUUUUGUAUAAUGGGUCAGCGACUUAUAUUCUGUAGCAAGGUUAACCGAAUAGGGGAGCCGAAGGGAAACCGAGUCUUAACUGGGCGUUAAGUUGCAGGGUAUAGACCCGAAACCCGGUGAUCUAGCCAUGGGCAGGUUGAAGGUUGGGUAACACUAACUGGAGGACCGAACCGACUAAUGUUGAAAAAUUAGCGGAUGACUUGUGGCUGGGGGUGAAAGGCCAAUCAAACCGGGAGAUAGCUGGUUCUCCCCGAAAGCUAUUUAGGUAGCGCCUCGUGAAUUCAUCUCCGGGGGUAGAGCACUGUUUCGGCAAGGGGGUCAUCCCGACUUACCAACCCGAUGCAAACUGCGAAUACCGGAGAAUGUUAUCACGGGAGACACACGGCGGGUGCUAACGUCCGUCGUGAAGAGGGAAACAACCCAGACCGCCAGCUAAGGUCCCAAAGUCAUGGUUAAGUGGGAAACGAUGUGGGAAGGCCCAGACAGCCAGGAUGUUGGCUUAGAAGCAGCCAUCAUUUAAAGAAAGCGUAAUAGCUCACUGGUCGAGUCGGCCUGCGCGGAAGAUGUAACGGGGCUAAACCAUGCACCGAAGCUGCGGCAGCGACACUAUGUGUUGUUGGGUAGGGGAGCGUUCUGUAAGCCUGUGAAGGUGGCCUGUGAGGGUUGCUGGAGGUAUCAGAAGUGCGAAUGCUGACAUAAGUAACGAUAAAGCGGGUGAAAAGCCCGCUCGCCGGAAGACCAAGGGUUCCUGUCCAACGUUAAUCGGGGCAGGGUGAGUCGACCCCUAAGGCGAGGCCGAAAGGCGUAGUCGAUGGGAAACAGGUUAAUAUUCCUGUACUUGGUGUUACUGCGAAGGGGGGACGGAGAAGGCUAUGUUGGCCGGGCGACGGUUGUCCCGGUUUAAGCGUGUAGGCUGGUUUUCCAGGCAAAUCCGGAAAACCAAGGCUGAGGCGUGAUGACGAGGCACUACGGUGCUGAAGCGACAAAUGCCCUGCUUCCAGGAAAAGCCUCUAAGCAUCAGGUAACAUCAAAUCGUACCCCAAACCGACACAGGUGGUCAGGUAGAGAAUACCAAGGCGCUUGAGAGAACUCGGGUGAAGGAACUAGGCAAAAUGGUGCCGUAACUUCGGGAGAAGGCACGCUGAUAUGUAGGUGAAGCGACUUGCUCGUGGAGCUGAAAUCAGUCGAAGAUACCAGCUGGCUGCAACUGUUUAUUAAAAACACAGCACUGUGCAAACACGAAAGUGGACGUAUACGGUGUGACGCCUGCCCGGUGCCGGAAGGUUAAUUGAUGGGGUUAGCGGUAACGCGAAGCUCUUGAUCGAAGCCCCGGUAAACGGCGGCCGUAACUAUAACGGUCCUAAGGUAGCGAAAUUCCUUGUCGGGUAAGUUCCGACCUGCACGAAUGGCGUAAUGAUGGCCAGGCUGUCUCCACCCGAGACUCAGUGAAAUUGAACUCGCUGUGAAGAUGCAGUGUACCCGCGGCAAGACGGAAAGACCCCGUGAACCUUUACUAUAGCUUGACACUGAACAUUGAGCCUUGAUGUGUAGGAUAGGUGGGAGGCUUUGAAGUGUGGACGCCAGUCUGCAUGGAGCCGACCUUGAAAUACCACCCUUUAAUGUUUGAUGUUCUAACGUUGGCCCGUAAUCCGGGUUGCGGACAGUGUCUGGUGGGUAGUUUGACUGGGGCGGUCUCCUCCUAAAGAGUAACGGAGGAGCACGAAGGUUGGCUAAUCCUGGUCGGACAUCAGGAGGUUAGUGCAAUGGCAUAAGCCAGCUUGACUGCGAGCGUGACGGCGCGAGCAGGUGCGAAAGCAGGUCAUAGUGAUCCGGUGGUUCUGAAUGGAAGGGCCAUCGCUCAACGGAUAAAAGGUACUCCGGGGAUAACAGGCUGAUACCGCCCAAGAGUUCAUAUCGACGGCGGUGUUUGGCACCUCGAUGUCGGCUCAUCACAUCCUGGGGCUGAAGUAGGUCCCAAGGGUAUGGCUGUUCGCCAUUUAAAGUGGUACGCGAGCUGGGUUUAGAACGUCGUGAGACAGUUCGGUCCCUAUCUGCCGUGGGCGCUGGAGAACUGAGGGGGGCUGCUCCUAGUACGAGAGGACCGGAGUGGACGCAUCACUGGUGUUCGGGUUGUCAUGCCAAUGGCACUGCCCGGUAGCUAAAUGCGGAAGAGAUAAGUGCUGAAAGCAUCUAAGCACGAAACUUGCCCCGAGAUGAGUUCUCCCUGACUCUUAGAGUCUCCUGAAGGAACGUUGAAGACGACGACGUUGAUAGGCCGGGUGUGUAAGCGCAGCGAUGCGUUGAGCUAACCGGUACUAAUGAACCGUGAGGCUUAACCUU